This 72-nucleotide transfer RNA is filed under the name Cavia porcellus (domestic guinea pig). It matches the Rfam family "tRNA". Rfam says of the family: Transfer RNA (tRNA) molecules are approximately 80 nucleotides in length. The record is from Rfam by way of RNAcentral. Lineage: Eukaryota; Metazoa; Chordata; Mammalia; Rodentia; Caviidae.
UGGGGUGUAGCUCAGUGGUAGAGCACUUGUCUUGUAUACAUGAGGUCCUGAAUUUGAUUCUCAGUGCUGAAA